ACCUGGUUUAUGUAAUCACUCAGCAAAACGUCUGUCACCCAGCCAGAGUCUGCAGCAUAGUUCUUCAUAGGACAUCAUAGGAACUUCUUCCAAAAGAUAAGCCAAAAAAAGCGAGCAGGUUGAGACAGCAGUGAAUGAGGUGGAGAGGGCAGAACAGCCAAGGAGUCAAAGUGCAGCAGCAGCAGAGUUAGCCACAGAUGAGCCAAGGAGGAUAACAGAUGAGAACAACAGGCCAGUGGAGUACUUAGAACAGCAGCAGCCAGGGGAAACUGGUAGGGAAGAAGAUGCUUUAGGUGACCCAGACAUAGGCCCAAAACAAGUUAAGCUACCCCAGUAUCCCCUUGACCGUUUUGGAUUGAAAAACUAAAGAGAUGCACCAGACAAGACACAUAUAGGCAGCAACAGAAGAGUAAAUGAUGGAGAGACACGAGGCAAGACACAGAGAUAGCAAACUAAGAAUAGGAUAUGAUUGAGCGAGACACCAGAAGAACGGAACAGGCCAUAACAGAAGAAGGAAGACCAAGAAGACAUUAACAAACAAGAACCUGAGACAGCAAUGGACAAGACACAGAUAAAUUGACAAGAGGGCAGAUGAAGAGAGAACAGAGGUCAGCAUGGAUCAAGGGUCUGGUGCACGUUUUCACGCACCCUCUUCUUUCCACAGAACAAAUAACUGCAACAGAGUGGAGGGAGAUGGUAAGUCAGUGGAACGUGAAUGGGAAAACGUCUAUCACAGAUGGUGGUCCUACACUGCCCUCUAGUGUUUUACAGAACAGACAUCUUUCAGAGAGCUGCUUUACUUCUCAAGAUUAUCCCUUGUUAUACAGUAUAUUAAAGGAUACAGUCCAUGUUUGCCUGUGUAUACAAUAUAUAUAUAUUUUUUACUAGUAGCAUGUAAUUUAAUGUGUUCCUCCCUUCAUAGGUUUACAUUCCAAACCAAAUGUAGAGUUACGCUUCGAACACACCGACCGUGUCAUUGCAUUGUGGUACACCAGAAUUACAUUAAUUUCCAAAGAAACGCUGCGUUUGCCUUGCAGCAUUGCGUUGCAGAGGCAGUUGCAGUGCGUUCGGUGUGGUGCGUACGUUGGAUUUAUCGAACGUAUGCGUCAAACUGUUUGCGUAAACGACUUGACAGAAAUGGUAGCAGAGGGUGAAUGUUGAACUUUUGUUGCAUACAUAUCCAGAUGAUACUGCGUGCUAUAUUGCGCAAUGACUCUGUUGGUGUGUUCGAAGCGUUAACCAUAAACAUCUGUAUAUGGGUGCAUAGGCAGUAAAUCAUAAUGCGGUAAUAGUUUUGUUAGGGCUGAGUUUGAAGCCUCAGGGGGCCAUAUUGGCACUAGGGGGUGUACAGCUAGCAUUAACAGAAUGCCCUUGCUUGUCCUCCUGAGGCUCAGACAGCUGCCACACAAGUGGGACUUGCAGGGCUGGGAGGGUAGAUAGACAUGCAGGGCAGCCUGGCAGGAUAGACAGAGAGACUGACGUACAAUUUGCUAUCCUUCCCUCGCAGCUGCUCAAUCUUGGUGGCACCAUACAUGGGGCGCAGGGGGUUGAUGAUGUGGUUGUUCCAGCGGAACUUCAUCCCAGUCAACUCGACAAUGUCCGUCUCAGCAUCGAUGAAGAGCUUGUCCUGUAGGUUUUAUUAGGUCUCAGGAGGCCACUUUAGGAAAAAGCAGAACAUUUUCAUUCCUUUAGUCAGUUUAGAUUGGGGUAGGGUCAGCCAGUUGUCCUAUGAAUAGAUCUUUCUGUUAUUCAAGUCCAACAGUCUUCAGAAAUCAAAAUUAUUUUAUGGGCUAUGAUGUUGUCACUUACAAUUAGAAGAAUGAAAUAGAAAUGAAACCAUUUAAAACAGGUGUGUGACAUAACAUCUCAACUCGUCUAUAAGCUAGUUUAUAUCAGGAGUAGUCACAUACAGUACAUGUUAACCUGAUACUGGCGAGUGUUGCCAUGCUCUUCAUACAGAGCUAUAUGUUCAUUAUCCCUGGCUGGGAUCUUCUGCCAUCGAUGGUUACAUUUGCUUUGUAGCGGUACCCAGGAAUUUGAAUACAGUGCUUUCGGAAACUAUUCAGACCCAUUGACUUUUUCCACAUUUUGUUACAUUACAGCCUUGUUCUAAAAUGUAUUAAAUAAUUAUUUACAGGCAAAGGGCUCAGCAUCUCCGGUGUUCAGGUAGAACUUCAUAUUGGAUUGUCCCCUGGGGAUGGGGAACGUGUCAACAUAGCGACCCAUAAUGGGACAUGCUUUGUCUGCACAUGGGAAACACCUCUAAAAACACACACACACACAGAAUCAGGUGAAAUAUGUCUUCAUGCGGUCAAGGUGUAUACAUUGAUGUUAGACAGUGGAUUUGAUAGGGCAGAGGGACCCGAAUAUAGAAGAUAUAUAUAUAUAUAUAUAUAUACUGCAUGGUAAGGUAUAGAAAUAUCAUUUGUAGAUGUUUGUACUUGGGGCCAUAGAAUUGAGGUAUUUCAGUUUGAAAAUAAAGAUUAAAGCUUAGUAUUUAUAAACAAUUGCCAUUUGUGGCCAUUCAAGAGGAUUCAAAAGGAUAUAAAAGCAUUGGUCAGCUCAUUUUGCACCUUUCAUAAACCAUUAUAAGUCACUGAGCUGCUGUUAAUAUUCUACUCAAGGUGAAAUGUGAAAAGGGAUCUUUUAUUUUACGAUCCAGCGCUUUCAACAUCUUUACGCCUACACUCCGAAGCCCCUCUGUGGGUAAUCAUCUUUUCUUAUUGCAGUUUCUCACCAAGCACAGGUGGCCAGUGGCACCUUAAUUGGGGAGGACGGGCUCAUAGUAAUGGCUGGAACAGAAUAAAUGGAAUGGUAUCCAACACAUCAAACACAUGGUUGCCAUGUGUUUGAUGCCAUUCCAUUCACCCCAUUCCAGCCAUUAUUAAGUGCCGUCCUCCCUUCAGCAGCCUCCUGUGGACUGUCAACGCCCUUGGCUUUUCGAGUACCCCCAAGCAGAGGGAGAACCCUCUAAGACUUUUUUCUCUCCUCUUAACUUUUAUGUGUCUUAGAUCACCAGCCUAUUAAUAUGUAGAUCAGGAUGACAUCAGUUUAUAGUGGUUUAUAGUGUGGGAACAGCAGAGUUUAUGGCUGUCAACUGGGCGAAGGAAUAACACCCAAGGGCGUUUACGAGGUGAACAACAAGGAGGCGUCUGUCGGCUUCUCUGGGGACAUAGUCAUAUGAGGUCAUGCACCACGCUCCCGAGCUGUUUGAUUGGGACGUGACCUAGAGCAGGGAUAAGCUUUCAUUAACGUGGACAGCUGCAGACGAAGGCCCCUCCCAUAGAAAGAAUGGGGGAAGCCUGUCUGCUGUGGUCCUCGCUGAACCCAAUCCCGACGAAUCAACUUCUAAAACCAUAGAAACGGUUCACAGCCGUAUCAAUAUCAUGUACAACAACAGGUGGUACCCCUCCACACACACCCCGAUCAAGAGCCGUCUUUGCAGGCAGCAAUGCACACCCGAAUAAAGUAAACACUUAAAGUAAAAAAAAACAGUGGCAUGCAUUGAUAUGCAAUGGCUUUCUCGUGGCUUUCUUUUGCAAAAUAACUAUGAAUUAACAGACAUUUAAUAAUUGGCAACAUACACUGAGUAUACCAAACAUUAGGAACAUCUUCCUGAUUUUGAGUUGCACCCCCCCCCCCCCCCCCCUUUUGUCCUCAGAAUAGCCUCAAUUCGUUGGGGCUUGGACGUUACAAGGUGUCGAAAGUGUUCCACAGAGAUUCUGGUCCAUGUUGACUCCAAUGCUUCACACAGUUGUGUCAAGUUGGCUGGAUGGCCUUUGGGUGGUGGACCAUUCUUGAACACGCGGGAAACUGUUGAAAACCCCAGCUGCGUUGCAGUUCUUGACACAAGCCGAUGCGCCUGGCACCUACUACCAUUCCCCAUUAAAGGCACUUAAAUCUUUUGUCUUGCCCAUUCGUCCUCUGAAUGGCACACAUACUGGCUUACUGGUGC
Molecule: non-coding RNA, 3955 nt
Organism: Oncorhynchus mykiss (rainbow trout)
Lineage: Eukaryota; Metazoa; Chordata; Actinopteri; Salmoniformes; Salmonidae
Source: RefSeq, a predicted model, not a curated record